Molecule: ribosomal RNA, 658 nt
Filed under: uncultured bacterium
Lineage: Bacteria
Description: bacterial SSU rRNA
Rfam family: Bacterial small subunit ribosomal RNA
Source: RNAcentral
CAUGCAAGUCGAACGGUUCCUUCGGGAACAGUGGCAGACGGGUGAGUAACGCGUGGGAACCUACCCAUUGGCUCGGAAUAACCCAGGGAAACUUGGGCUAAUACCGGAUACGCCCCGGACUUGAUCCGGGGGAAAGAUUUAUCGCCGAUGGAUGGGCCCGCGUCGGAUUAGCUAGUUGGUGGGGUAAUGGCCUACCAAGGCAACGAUCCGUAGCUGGUCUGAGAGGAUGAUCAGCCACACUGGGACUGAGACACGGCCCAGACUCCUACGGGAGGCAGCAGUGGGGAAUAUUGGACAAUGGGCGCAAGCCUGAUCCAGCCAUGCCGCGUGAGUGAAGAAGGCCUUAGGGUUGUAAAGCUCUUUCAGCGGGGAAGAUAAUGACGGUACCCGCAGAAGAAGCCCCGGCUAACUUCGUGCCAGCAGCCGCGGUAAUACGAAGGGGGCUAGCGUUGUUCGGAAUUACUGGGCGUAAAGCGCGCGUAGGCGGAUUUGUAAGUCAGGGGUGAAAUGCCAGGGCUUAACCUUGGAACUGCCUUUGAUACUGCGAGUCUGGAGUACGGGAGAGGUGAGUGGAAUUCCGAGUGUAGAGGUGAAAUUCGUAGAUAUUCGGAGGAACACCAGAAGCGAANGCGGCUCACUGGCCCGAUACUGACGCUGA